CCUUUGCGUUGCUCUCUUUUCCGCCAAUCGUUGUAGUUGUUGUUUUGUUAGCAAUCCUCAAUGUCCCUUUAUCGGGCUUUCUGGCUUUUCUCGGCGUCGCGUGUUUUAUAAAUAAAUACUUAACUAAUUAUAUCACAUUUGAAACGACAACUACAAAAAAAUAUGUAAAAAAAAUGACUAAAACAGACCACAAUGAAGAAUUAAAUGCACAACAACGCGACGUCAACAACAAAUGGAAGAGGCGAAAGAAGAAAUAGCCACGCCGAACGAAAAGAAGAAGAGCACCGCGCAGAAAGACACAGAGAGAGGGAUAGAAAGAGAAGUCGCAAGAGAAAUGCGAAAAAACCGCGAAUACAAUUUACAAAUAGCGAAUUACAGAAAAUAAGUCUAAAAAUAUAAAUAAAAUCGCUUGCUAGCUCCACCAAGCGACGCUUUUUAACUGACGCUACGUCAACGACCAAAGCCCCACGAAGGCAGCGACGUCGACAGAGCGGCGACGACGCCCCCAUCAACGUAUGCUGUUCUUUUGUGCUUUAUUUUAUUAACCGCAAGUUUGCGGGAGACAAAAGAGAGAGGGAGAGAUCUUUCGGCGGGAUAGUACACAGAUACAGAAGAGAGCGCAAAAAGAGAGCUUUGCGAAGAAUUUGAACAGUCAUGUCAUGAGGCACAUGUUCUAGUUCGCACAGUGAAACUCAUUUUAGCGAGGGGUGGUCAAAUGCGGUUUCGUCCAGGUAAUCGAAUGCACAGCGACCCCACAGCAACUACAUACAUGACAAAAAUCCAUAUUU
Non-coding RNA from Drosophila melanogaster (fruit fly), 788 nucleotides. NCBI's taxonomy places the organism in Eukaryota, Metazoa, Arthropoda, Insecta, Diptera, Drosophilidae. The record is from Ensembl.